CCUAAAUGUUUCGUUUUUUCCCAAUCUCUAAAAAAAACCUAUCUAUUUUCUCCCAAAAGUUUUCACUCUUCCCCGAUUUUUUCCGAUUCGAACGCUCCCCUUCUCGACCAUGAUUGCGCGAACGAUCCCUUAAGAUGGACCGUCACCAAACGAUCUCGCACCAUGGACGUUCCAUCGUGCACAGAUGUUCACGUUCAUGCAGACGCUCCACCCACAUAGGUUCUCCGUGACUGUAAUGUCGAGGAAGGCCGAUAUGAAGAAAGAAGUUGUAAAAUGCCUUAUAAAUUUGAUUCACAAGCACGGUGGCUGGAUUGACAAUGAUGGAUCCAUCUUCUAGGCUUGUGAUACAAUCUUGAAUGUGCUUCUGAAGAUGUUUGAUCAAAUGUCUCCAAAAUCAAAGGUUAAUUCAUAAGGUGUUUUUGUUCUAAUUUUCUGUGUUUUUUGAAUGGGAGCUAAACUUCUCCUAGUGCAAAUGACCAAUGUGAGUGAUUUUUCAGCACAAUUAAACUUGUACCAUUGGUUUAGGUAAAUUUUGGUCUCCACAAUGUAACUAGUUUUUUAUGGAGUAAAUUAUUGCUAAUUCAUUGGUAUUAUGCAUAAAUUAUUGCUAAUUUAUUUGGUUUGAACUUUGAUGUUUCUUUCCUUCCAAGUAAUGGAAAUAAAAAGGGACAGCUUCGGAAUGAUUCUAACUGGGUAGAUGGUGACAGCUUCAGUGUGGCUUCUCUUGUUCGUAUGCCCUCUACAUAUCUGGAUGACCAAGCCUUUUCUAGUGUUCUAAUUGCAUCCGAUCUUUUCUCCUAUUAUCAAUAAUGACUCUGGCUGCUUGUAAUCUGAGAUCUGUUGGUGCAUAUCAGAUAUUUUCCUCAGGAUGUUGUUGCACGCAGUUUUGCCAACUACCUACUUGUUGGAUUACAAAAGAAAUACAUAUACAAAAGCAGAUUUGCAAUGCACGAAUGUUAUACAAAGCAUGGAAAAAAGGUUGAGAGUUGCUUGCCUUAUGCAAAUAUCAAUAAUGUUGUGGAGAUUGGCUCUGCCGUUGGUGGUACUUAUUUUAGCUCAUGAAUUGAAGAUAGAGGAUGCGAAUGCAAGUUUAUUUGAAGCCAAGUUUCAUCUAAAGUUAUUGAGUUUCAAGCUUCUUUAGUUAAGUUUGUAUUUCUUGAACUAGAAUUGUAGUCUUAUGAUUUUUGGAACAACAUAGUUGGAAAGGUUUUGUAAUUUUGGAAUUAUCAUAUUAGGUUGGGUAGAUAGAAGUAAUGUUUUUUAUAUGACAAUAUCGAACAAAUAUGUAAAGUUUUCGAAAUGUUGAUACAUAUACGUUAAAAUGUUAAUAUAUGUUAAAGUUUUGGAAUUGUCCUCCUGCA
Cucumis melo (muskmelon) is the source of this 1361-nucleotide RNA transcript. RefSeq lists it as uncharacterized. The record is from RefSeq and is a predicted model, not a curated record. The transcript is spliced from 6 exons. NCBI's taxonomy places the organism in Eukaryota, Viridiplantae, Streptophyta, Magnoliopsida, Cucurbitales, Cucurbitaceae.